GACGAACGCUGGCGGCGUGCUUAACACAUGCAAGUCGAACGGAAAGGCCCUGCUUUUGUGGGGUGCUCGAGUGGCGAACGGGUGAGUAACACGUGAGUAACCUGCCCUUGACUUUGGGAUAACUUCAGGAAACUGGGGCUAAUACCGGAUAGGAGCUCCUGCUGCAUGGUGGGGGUUGGAAAGUUUCGGCGGUUGGGGAUGGACUCGCGGCUUAUCAGCGUGUUGGUGGGGUAGUGGCUUACCAAGGCUUUGACGGGUAGCCGGCCUGAGAGGGUGACCGGCCACAUUGGGACUGCGGUACGGCCCAGAGGCCUACGGGAGGCAGCAGUGGGGAAUAUUGCACAAUGGGCGGAAGCCUGAUGCAGCAACGCCGCGGGCGGGAUGACGGCCUUCGGGUUGUAAACCGCUUUCGCCUGUGACGAAGCGUGAGUGACGGUAAUGGGUAAAGAAGCACCGGCUAACUACGUG
RNAcentral lists this ribosomal RNA (468 nucleotides) under uncultured bacterium. RNAcentral's name for it is "partial 16S ribosomal RNA". It matches the Rfam family "Bacterial small subunit ribosomal RNA", at positions 28 to 507 of the family's 1533-position model. The record is from RNAcentral.